RNAcentral lists this unclassified non-coding RNA (258 nucleotides) under Hevea brasiliensis (rubber tree). Lineage: Eukaryota; Viridiplantae; Streptophyta; Magnoliopsida; Malpighiales; Euphorbiaceae. The record is from RNAcentral.
GAAUGAGACUAGAGGUGAUGUGGAGUUGUUUAGAAUUAAUGAUAAUAACGGUUUAAGCAUUGGUCACCAUAUAUUAUCUUGUAAUGCAAGUGAUAAGAUUUACCUCUCCAUGAUCACUAAUUGCCAUACUCAGAUGGUGAUUGACAAAUGGAUACACAAAUAUCAAACAUGUAGACCCCCCUCUCCUUUCCCUAUCACCAGCUAUUAUCUCUUUCCUUUCUCUUACAUAUAUUCUUCUCUCUUUAUUUCCCAUUUACA